This 703-nucleotide long non-coding RNA is filed under the name Gallus gallus (chicken). Lineage: Eukaryota; Metazoa; Chordata; Aves; Galliformes; Phasianidae. The record is from RNAcentral.
GCUUCAUUAGGUACAGUCUUCAGCUGGUUGUUCUGUAGGGUUAGAACUUUGAGUUCUUUCAACCCAGACAAGGCCUUCGGAUGGAUAAAAGAAAGGUCAUUGCCAGCCAGUCGCAGCUCUUCCAAGUAGGGAAAGUUCUUGAAUGCAUCCUCUGGUAGCCUGGUGAUGUUGUUCAUGCUGACAUCCAGAGCCUGCGUGAAGGCGCUGAGCCCCGGCGGCACGGCGGCCAGCCCCCGCCCGGAGCAGUCUACUCCUCGGUCCCCGUCGCAGCUGCAGGAGGCCGGGCAGGGCGGGGGGGAGGCCCCGCCGCUGGGCCCGGCCGAGCUGCCCAGGCCCCAGGCGACGAGGCCGAGCAGCGCGAGGCACCGCAUCGCCGGGCCCCGCACCGCUCCGCGGCACGGCCCCGUCGGGAAAUAAAAUAAAAUAAUAAUAAUAAAAAAAAGACGAUAAAAAAAUACAAAAAAUAAAGAAGAGCACCGCGGAGACGGACAAAAAACCCUCCCGAGCCCGGCGCCGCCCCGUCCGGCGCCCUGCCCCGCCGCUCCUCAGCGCCGCAGGUAGGGCGCGGGGGCGGCCAUGGCCAGCCGACCGCGGGGCGGACGCUGAGCGCGGCACGGAGCGGAGCGCGGCGCAGCUUAGCGCCCCCGCCCCUCCCGGCCUGUCCCUGCGAGCGGCGGCUGCAGCAGCUCCGCGCCCAGCGCCG